AGUGAGAAUGCCGGAAUGAGUAGCGAGAAUUAUGUGAGAAUCAUAAUGGCCGAAAAUCUAAGGUUUCCUGAGGAAGGUUCGUCCGCUCAGGGUAAGCCGGGGGCUAAGGCGAGGCGGAGACGCGUAGCCGAUGCACAUACGGUUGAAAUUCCGUAGCCACCGAAAGAUUUAAGUACAGGGACGCUUUAGAAGUGAUGUAGCCGGGCGAUGGUUGACCCGGUCGUAAGGGAUCGAAAAUGAGUAGAGAAGUCAUCAUGGAAAGAGACAAGAAAAGCUGUAUGAAUAUCUUAGGUGCCCGUACCGCAAACCGACACAGGUAGAUAGGAAGAAGAUUCUAAGGCCAACGGGAGAAGGGUUGUUAAGGAACUCGGCAAGUUGACCCCGUAACUUAGGGAUAAGGGGUGCUCAAGUGAUUGAGCCGCAGAGAAUAGGCCCAGGCGACUGUUUAGCAAAAACACAGGUCUCUGCUAAAUCGAAAGAUGACGUAUAGGGGCUGACACCUGCCCGGUGCCGGAAGGUUAAGAGGAGAUGUGAGAGCAUUGAAUUGAAGCCCCGGUAAACGGCGGCCGUAACUAUAACGGUCCUAAGGUAGCGAAAUUCCUUGUCAGGUAAGUUCUGACCCGCACGAAAGGUGUAACGAUCUGGGCACUGUCUCAACAACCCGCCCGGCGAAAUUGUAGUACCGGUGAAGAUGCCGGUUACCCGCGACUAGACGGAAAGACCCCAUGGAGCUUUACUGUAGCCUAAUAUUGGAUUUCGGUAUUUCACGUACAGGAUAGGUGGGAGACUGGGAAGCACAGGCGUCAGCUUGUGUGGAGUCGACCUUGGGAUACCACUCUUGGAGUGCUGGAAUUCUAACCUGCGGCUUUGAAGCAAGUCGGGGGACAUUGUUAGGUGGGCAGUUUGACUGGGGCGGUCGCCUCCUAAAGAGUAACGGAGGCGCUCAAAGGUUCGCUCUGCAUGGAUGGAAACCAUGCGUCAGAGUGUAAACGCAAAAGCGAGCCUAACUGCGAGAAUGACGGUUCGAGCAGUAACGAAAGUUGGAGUUAGUGAUCCGGCGGUAUGUGAAUGGAAAUGCCGUCGCUCAACGGAUAAAAGCUACCCUGGGGAUAACAGGCUGAUCUCCCCCAAGAGUCCACAUCGACGGGGAGGUUUGGCACCUCGAUGUCGGCUCAUCGCAUCCUGGGGCUGAAUUCGGUCCCAAGGGUUUGGCUGUUCGCCAAUUAAAGCGGUACGCGAGCUGGGUUCAGAACGUCGUGAGACAGUUCGGUCCCUAUCUGUCGUGGGCGUAGGAUAUUUGCAAGGAGCUGUCCCUAGUACGAGAGGACCGGGAUGGACGCACCUCUGGUGCACCAGUUGUCACGCCAGUGGCACAGCUGGGCAGCUAUGUGCGGAACGGAUAAACGCUGAAGGCAUCUAAGCGUGAAGCCGCCCUUAAGAUAAGAUAUCCCUUCUGUUUACAGAGUAAGACCCCUUGAAGACUACAAGGUUGAUAGGCUCAAAGUGUAAGCACGGUGACGUGUUUAGCUAGCGAGUACUAAUCGGUCGAGGGCUUAACCUU
This 1561-nucleotide ribosomal RNA is filed under the name human gut metagenome. Its description in RNAcentral is "bacterial LSU rRNA". It matches the Rfam family "Bacterial large subunit ribosomal RNA", at positions 1287 to 2925 of the family's 2925-position model. The record is from RNAcentral.